This 1542-nucleotide long non-coding RNA is filed under the name Rattus norvegicus (Norway rat). RNAcentral describes it as "long non-coding RNA NONRATT001673". Lineage: Eukaryota; Metazoa; Chordata; Mammalia; Rodentia; Muridae. The record is from RNAcentral.
CUCCUCCUCCAGGAUACGCUGUCCCCAGUGCCACCGCUCCUGUGUCUACAGCCCAGCUCAAGCAAGCAGUGACACUUGGACAAGACUUAGCAGCAUAUACAACCUAUGAGGUCUACCCUACUUUUGCAGUGACCACCCGAGGUGAUGCAUAUGGCGCCUUCUGAAGAUCCCUUUCCUCUAAGAAUAAGCCUUUACAGGAGGCUCUGUAGAAGACACAAACCUCUAACCAGAUCCCUCAUGAUCAUAAGUCUGCCUUCCCCAAAGCAAUGCCUUCCCUGAGACCACAUGACUUAUUUAUCGUAUUUCUCACAAAAUGUGAAUUUUACUCUUCAACAAAAUCAAAGGUGAAGGAGCCUUUUACUUAACAGAAACCUGAAGACCCGCGGACAGCAAAAGUUCUUCCAAGAAGCCUGGAUGUCUCAGGAAGAGGAUAACACCCUGACAAGUUGGUGUAUGCUGUUGGACCGAGAGCUGGGCAGUCAGUAGCAAGGCACAGUCAGUAAAAUCCCCAUCUCAGUCGCCGGCUCACAGCUGCUUCAUCAUUCACAGAAUGUAGACACCAGAGGAAACCAGGAAGCUUUGUAAGAGGCCUUCAGCAUUGUGUGUGGGGUAUGACCAGGCUGAGUUCAGCAAAACUGUCUGAAACGUUAUAGAUCCCUUGUUACUUUUGGUCUGAAAGUUCCAUACCUUUUAUCUAUCAUAGGUCGGCACCUUCCUGUCCCUGCAACCUCUGGGGACUUUCUAAGUAAUCAAUACCAUGUGUUUCAGAUAUGCUUGAGGCAAAUCCAAGCCAUGUAUUUAUUCAACCCCUUAAGGCACUGUUUUCCUUUAGAAUUCUUACCCUGCUCAAGGACUGCCAAAUCACAGACACCAUGCCAGGACCAAGCUCUAGAGUGAAAGAUGACUCGUUUGUCUGGAAAGUCCGGCUUGUCCAUAUUAAUUUGCUUUCAUCUCAGACUCAUUCUUCGGCUGAUUUCAAACACUACAAAGUGAAUCAGAUCUACAUACAAAUCACAUGAUAUUUUCAUAAUCAAAGUUGACCAAAAAGUCAUCUCAAAGAGAAAAGUGAACUUGGUUGACUUUUGUCUCACUGUGUAGCCCAGGCUGGCCUCCAUCUUGUGAUCUCCCUGCCUCUAUCCCCACCCCAUGCUGGUGUUGUUGCUACACCACCAUACUCACCUCCAAGCAGUCAUGUUAAAAUUGAGGUUACCUUUGAAUUCUCUGCCCAGUUCAUGUUAGUCUAGCAAGAGGCAUUGUCUUUCCCAUUUUUUUUUAAUUCUCUUUCAAUGUGUGCAGCUGGCUCUACCAUGGCUGAGUCCCUGAAACUAUUUCAGGAAAGCCUUACACCCAUCAUGGUUGCUUAGAGACCAUCCCGUCAUUGUUCAGUAAAAGUGUUCCUGAGUAUUUGGACCAUCUGGUAGUGACCAGGGGAGGGAAGCUGCAUACAGGUAAAAAGGGUGGAAUGUUCUGAAACAAAUUAGAUAUAACUCCAGCCUUAUUAGUGAUUUUUUUAGGAGAUAAGCUGCUUGAAUCUCCAUUAAA